AACGAACGCUGGCGGCAUGCCUAACACAUGCAAGUCGAACGAGACCUUCGGGUCUAGUGGCGCACGGGUGCGUAACGCGUGGAAACCUGCCCUUAGGUUCGGAAUAACUCCCCGAAAGGGGUGCUAAUACCGGAUAAUGUCUUCGGACCAAAGAUUUAUCGCCUUUGGAUGGGCCCGCGUUGGAUUAGCUAGUUGGUAGGGUAAAAGCCUACCAAGGCGACGAUCCAUAGCUGGUCUGAGAGGAUGAUCAGCCACACUGGGACUGAGACACGGCCCAGACUCCUACGGGAGGCAGCAGUGGGGAAUAUUGGACAAUGGGCGAAAGCCUGAUCCAGCAACGCCGCGUGAGUGAUGAAGGCCUUAGGGUUGUAAAGCUCUUUUACCCGGGAUGAUAAUGACAGUACCGGGAGAAUAAGCUCCGGCUAACUCCGUG
Molecule: ribosomal RNA, 433 nt
Filed under: uncultured bacterium
Lineage: Bacteria
Description: partial 16S ribosomal RNA
Rfam family: Bacterial small subunit ribosomal RNA
Source: RNAcentral